UCCGCAUUGUCUGCGGCAGUCAGCCUAGAGUGCCCAACCCAAUGCUGGCAACUAAGCUCAAGGGUUGCGCUCGUUGCGGGACUUAACCCAACAUCUCACGACACGAGCUGACGACAACCAUGCACCACCUGUCUCCUCUGCCCCGAAGGGACGCCCUAUCUCUAGAGCCGUCAGAGGGAUGUCAAGCCCUGGUAAGGUUCUUCGCGUUGCUUCGAAUUAAACCACAUGCUCCACCGCUUGUGCGGGCCCCCGUCAAUUCCUUUGAGUUUCAGUCUUGCGACCGUACUCCCCAGGCGGAGUGCUUAUUGUGUUAACUGCGGCACGAAAGGUGUUGAAACCUCUCACACCUAGCACUCAUCGUUUACAGCGUGGACUAC
RNAcentral lists this unclassified non-coding RNA (377 nucleotides) under uncultured Caryophanales bacterium. RNAcentral's name for it is "uncultured Bacillales bacterium contains 16S-23S intergenic spacer region". Lineage: Bacteria; Bacillati; Bacillota; Bacilli; Caryophanales. The record is from RNAcentral.